Molecule: ribosomal RNA, 285 nt
Filed under: uncultured Bacillota bacterium
Lineage: Bacteria; Bacillati; Bacillota
Description: uncultured Firmicutes bacterium partial 16S ribosomal RNA
Rfam family: Bacterial small subunit ribosomal RNA (bases 48-285)
Source: RNAcentral
ACUCUAUUUGAUUUCCUUCGGGAUUGAUUAUUUUGUGACUGAGUGGCGGACGGGUGAGUAACGCGUGAGCAACCUGCCCAUAAGAGGGGGAUAACAGUUGGAAACGACUGCUAAUACCGCAUAAGACCACAUUACCGCAUGGUAGAGGGGUCAAAGAAAUUCGCUUAUGGAGGGGCUCGCGUCCCAUUAGGUAGUUGGUAGGGUAAAGGCCUACCAAGCCGACGAUGGGUAGCCGACCUGAGAGGGUGAUCGGCCACACUGGAACUGAGACACGGUCCAGACUCC